UUGGAAAUGGGCAGAGACUACUGCAGAUCCUUUUAACAGAAUUCUGGGCAUAAACUAAACCAUAUGAUUGUAUAGAGCUGUGAACCUUUACCUGUCUUUGAUAUAUUCCUAUUUUACAAUGCUGUAGUAAUAGAACAUAAAUUGUGGAAAACUGAUAAUGAUGCAAGUAAUUCCUCUCCUACAAUGCAAAUGCAUUCUUGUUCAGAAGAACAUAAAGUAGGGCUGGGGAUUUAGCUCAGCGGCACAGCACCUGCCUGACAAGCGCAAGGUCGUGAGUUCGAUUCCCGGUACCGGAAACCGCCCCCCACCAAAAAAAAAAAAAAAAAAGAAGAACAUAAAGUAAAUUCUCCUUUGGACCAAUUUUAACAUUUUAUUGCUUCUUCAUUAAUUGAGUUAAAUAAAAUCAUUAGCACAUGCUCAUUUUCUACUUAUAAGACAGUCAUGAUUUCAAUGUUAUAGGUCCUUCAACAACUACUGGAAGACAUGGUCCUCAAAGGCAUUAUCCAUGCAAUAGUCAUAUCUGAGACUUCAGGGCAUGGCAGGGAGUGGUUUCUGUUCCCCACAUCCUGACUGCAUUUUAUACCCUCACAUCAAUGAAUUCAUCUUCUGGGAAACAGUUUCCUGG
Molecule: long non-coding RNA, 625 nt
Filed under: Chinchilla lanigera (long-tailed chinchilla)
Lineage: Eukaryota; Metazoa; Chordata; Mammalia; Rodentia; Chinchillidae
Description: lncRNA (ENSCLAG00000025547.1)
Source: RNAcentral